RNAcentral lists this ribosomal RNA (204 nucleotides) under Triticum aestivum (bread wheat). RNAcentral's name for it is "partial small subunit ribosomal RNA". Lineage: Eukaryota; Viridiplantae; Streptophyta; Magnoliopsida; Poales; Poaceae. The record is from RNAcentral.
AUGGCGGCCACGGCGAGUGCUGAUGACUACGACGACGGAUGGAGACACAAAAAAGGAGGAAUCUGCAGAGGGGCUCACCCCGGUGCUCGUGGACGAGUUUGUGAGGGCGUGGGAGCUCGGGAGGCGGCGGAUCUGACAACAAACGACGACAGCUGUGGCGGGGAAGACGGCUCGAUCCUGAAGUUUGACGGCGCCCCGGCUUGA